ACCAUAUAAUACUCCUGGAACUGG
This 24-nucleotide non-coding RNA is filed under the name Cricetulus griseus (Chinese hamster). Lineage: Eukaryota; Metazoa; Chordata; Mammalia; Rodentia; Cricetidae. The record is from RNAcentral.